ACACGAUAUUAAAUGGAUAAAAGUAAAAAAAUAAAUAAAUAAAUAAAUAAUAAAAAAGCAUUUUUAUCCUUCAGUGCAUUAAAACAUGAAUUGUGUAAAUUGUUGUGGUAUAAGAUGAAUCAAUCACUUCCGGACAUGCUGUUAUGGGAAAAUGACCAACAGGAACACACACACCAUCACACCACCCUGUCAGUGAUUAUUUUUUCUGCAACAGCACGAGACAGAGUGUUUACACACACACACACACACACACACACACACACAGAGAGGGGCUUCUUACAGGAAUUUGAAAUUUGCUUUCCUGUAAAUGCAUGACUUAACAGAUGUCCUGACAGAGCGAAAGUGAAAGUGAAUUUAUCAGUCUUCCUGUCUCUCUGCACCUAAACUGAUCCUCGACAGAUCACACGACAAACCUGGGCUUUCAUUUGACUUCAGAAUGCUUCCCGUACACAGUGUCUACCCUCUGGUUUUAGGGAAAACCAUGAACUCCGAUAAGCACUUUAUGGAUUGUCUCAGAUCCGAAAUGAAGCUACAUGAAGUGGACUCGCAGAAUGACUGUGAUGUCCUCAUUGCUUUCGUCCCGAUUGUGUCUCGAGCUGGAACGGACAUUCAAGCUGCUCUUGAAAGAAUUCCCACAGAACAUUCAUACAAGCGCGUCGUUCUGGUGUCUCUCCACCACACAUUCGAUCAGGAUUACAUCGCUCCGGACAGCAGACACUCUGUUCACAGGAAUGACGUGUUUGCUGUGGACUGUCUCUAUCAUGAAGACAUGGGACUGCUGAAAUCCCGAACCAAUGAUGAGGCACUGAAAAGAGUAAUAAAGCAUCUAGGAGGAGAAACACCAUAUAAGGUCUCUGAAUGGAGCCUGUUGAUUGUGAAUAAAAUGGGUGCGGACAAGACCGAAUUUAUUCCUUGGUUAUGUGCCGUGCUGAGCAGCCUUUGUUUAUACUUUGUUCUGCCAGAAGGGUACAGCUUCUUCCACUUCUUAAUUUUGGAGAUAUUGCUGCUGAUUAUCAUAUCUGUGUCCCUGAGUUACUACAGCAAGUAUCUCAAAAAUAGCAAAUACCACCUUGGGAAGUGGACUCUUUGGAUUUUUACUGGUAUGAACGUUGUCCUCAUACUUGUAUUUCAGAGUUCCACUAAGGAGUCUGUGCAUGAGUUGAAUAAUGCCACUGAACACAGUCAAAACAUGUGAUACGGAUAAUAUUGCUUUGCCUGAUAUUGUGGUAUGUGGUUUAGAAAACUUGUUAAUAUUAAAUAAACACUUCUCUGUUCAAUAAUAAACUAUAGGCAUGGGGACAAAAAUAUGUUCAUUUGUGGUUUUGUUAAAAGUUCAAAUUAAAAGAAGUGAAUUCAGGAUUAAUAGAACGAUUAAUUUAAGAUUAAAUUAAAAAUAAACUAAAAUUAAAUGAAAUAAAUCAAAUGAGUAAAAUACACAGUACUGUGCAACAGUCUUAGGGACUCUUUGUUUAGCAUAAUUUUGUUAUAGAUAUUUAUUUGAUGAAUUCUGCUUUAUCGAGUCAGUACAGAAACAUUUUAGAUCUCCAAACAUUACUCAUCCAAAAGUAUAAUGUUGCAGAGAAAUAUUUACGUUAGAAGAGAAAGCAACGUAUUACAUAAGAGACCACUUUUCAGAGAAAUAAACAUAAUGAAGGCGGCUGGGUUUUGCAUGCGAAAAAGAAGAAGAAGCAAACGUGACAGUCUCCAGAAGAAGUCAGAUUCUCCAAGAUGCUCAACAAAACAACGAAAGGAGCAAGAAUGUGUGGACGAUUGUCAAGGGGGUGUAAUCAGGGCAAGACUUAUGGAGGAAUGCUGAAAAACAAGAAAGUUCAGAAAGAACAAAACACCUCCUACCCAAGCAUGCAGAUCCAAGUGUCUACACCCAGGCUACACGCCACCAACACAGCAGUUUCCGAUCACGUGACCUUACCAGGAAAACAAAAAUCGAGAUAUUAAACGUAUGACAUUUGUUUAAUUUUAUCGUGUCAAGACCAGUAUCUCUAAACUAGCAACAUCGUUAUUUAUAACCACAAUAAACAUAACCACGUCAGCGUCUGUACGCUGUUGAGAAAAAAGAAUACUUUAGCUACACAAACUUGUAGAUAUUUUAUUUAAUAAAUAUUUAAAAUGGUCCAAAAUGAGAGAUAUGACCAAUCUUUUCAGUUGCUCUCCUGUCUGAAUGAAGAGAUGAGUAAGUAAAGUAGAUAUGCGACCAAACACUCUGAACAAAUCAUCUGGGAUGGAGAUAAUACUGCUGCAAUGAUCUACAAUGACAGAUGACAGACACCUGCAGACGGGUUCAACUGAUGUACUGAAGAAGAAGAAGAAGAAGAAGGCGUCUUAAAAUUUAUAAUUGUUAAUAUAUUUCUAUGCUUAAUGUUUGUAAAGUUUAUCAUGGUUUAUGAUAACCAUUAAUGUACUGUAUUUAACCAUGGGCAGUGGUAGCUCAGCGAUGAAGGUGUUGGACUACUGCUCAGGAGGUCGUGAAUCAAACCUCAGCACUACCACAAUACCUGUUGGGCCCUUGAGCAACUGCUCAGAUGUAUAAAUGAAAUAAAUGUAAGUUGACAGCACACGCCACAGUCGGUUUUACACCUUACUCAUUCAUGUUCACGCUGUACAUACUUUCCAGGCAGGAGGUGGAGGCUCUUAACAUUCUCUGCGCUGGUGUAAUUAUAGACAAUUAAUUUGCUAAUGGUUUCGCAGCCUGAGCCCGAAGAGUGAAAGUAAAUGUACCAGGAAAUAAACAACCUGUGGUUUGCAUUUUGUCCACCAACGAAUUCAGUCCAGAGCGUGUAACUCGGCUGAGAUCCCCCUUCAAAAUGACCCAAGUCUUUCCAGCAACGAUCAGAGUUUUUGUCAAGGUCCUUGGGAAGACCAAGAAGUCCCACAAGACCUUCAUGGAGCGUCUGACAACUUCGCCGAAACUUCGUGAAGUGAAGUCGGUGAACGACAGUGAUGUCAUCAUUGCUUUUGUCCCAGUUGUGUCUCAAGCUGGAACUGACAUUGGAGCUGCAAUGGCCAAAAUUCCUCAGGGUAAGCCUGUUGUUCUCGUGGUGCUCCACCACACAUAUGAUCAGAAUUACAUCGCUCCGGACAGCAGACGCUGUGUAAACACAGACAGAGUGUUUGCUGUAGAUUGUCUCUAUCAUGACCAAGGUCUGCUGAAUUGCCUGCGCAAUGACGACGCAAUCAGAGCCGUGAAGAAGCACCUGAGAUGCGACGACCACAUUGAGGACGACUCCAUAUUUGAUUGCUGGUUAUGUGUCCUGAAGGAACCGAAGAAUCUCACUCGGAUAUUGAUUGGUGUAUUCGUUUGCCUUCUGAUCAUCCUACUGAUUAUAGUUAUAAUUAAGCUCACUUCAUUAAUGCGUUAAUUCACGAUUUAAAAUUGGAAUACAGAGUGCACCGGGGUUAUGCUAGCGCUUGUGUCAGAGGUAUACUCUAUCUAUAAUAUAAUGACUAUGAAGUACUUUUGAUGAAUAGUUUAGCACUGCGUGUGCUUUACACUGUGUGUUUGUAGGGUUUAAUAUGAAACUAUCUGUAUAUGUGUUAUUAUAUGACAGACUAUAGUAACAGAUUAGUUUAGUUAUCUUUCUCUUUAGCCUACAGCUGUUAUUUGUUGCUUUAUUAGACAUAGAUUUGAAAUAGAAAAACUAAAUUACAUUUACAGCUUUGUUUCCUUUCCUAACCCCAGUGGGUGAAUUGAAAUGGCCUCAAGAUUAUGUGUAGUCUAUGAAUGUGUGUGUGUGUGUGUGUGUGUGUGUGUGUGUGUGUGUGUGUGUGUGUGUGUGUGUAUUUGAUUUCUUUCUGUUUAUGUCACGAUAGGCGACAGUGUGCACAUAACUCCAGCAGACUUCUGCUGCAUUUCACUCAUUUUUAUAUGUUUUUAUUUUCUGCACCUGAUUUGUUCUUGAAUAUAUUAUAAUGGUGUUGUUUUGGGUUUUUUUUUUUUUUUUUUUUGCAAAUAAAAAACUAUUUGUGCCUCCCUUUCUGUUUACUCACUCACACUCACUCAGUCACUGAAUUUUGUCAUCUAGUCUAACCACACUAGCUAUUUCUGUUUAGC
Molecule: long non-coding RNA, 4069 nt
Organism: Ictalurus punctatus (channel catfish)
Lineage: Eukaryota; Metazoa; Chordata; Actinopteri; Siluriformes; Ictaluridae
Source: Ensembl